Molecule: unclassified non-coding RNA, 284 nt
Filed under: Hevea brasiliensis (rubber tree)
Lineage: Eukaryota; Viridiplantae; Streptophyta; Magnoliopsida; Malpighiales; Euphorbiaceae
Source: RNAcentral
CUCAAGUAUACCACGAUGGUGAACACCGGUUGAUGAUGUUCCAGAUAAUACAUCACCAAUGAUAAUCAUGUAAACAAUCAUCACGCCAAUGUUGUUUAUGACGACAGAGGCCUGCAGUGCAAUUCUUCCCCACUGUCCGUAAGCCUCACCCAUUAGCCAACCAUAAGAUGUAAUCUUGCCCUGGUGGCUGCACCUGACAAGCAUGUCAAUUGAUGCCUCUGUGAGCAACGCCACAACGAUGAUCAUCAGAAUCCCUGGGAUGAUGCCCAACAUCUUGAUACUGG